RNAcentral lists this small RNA (446 nucleotides) under Histoplasma capsulatum var. duboisii H88. RNAcentral's name for it is "Histoplasma capsulatum H88 hypothetical RNA". Lineage: Eukaryota; Fungi; Ascomycota; Eurotiomycetes; Onygenales; Ajellomycetaceae. The record is from RNAcentral.
GCAUCAUUCAACAGGGUUGCGGGCUGUUGUGGAAGCUCACAACGCAGCCAAAAAUUACUGGGAUCCAUGCAUUCUAGCUUCAUGGUCCGAAGGUCUGUGGAAUCUAGAAAGUUGUGACAAAGGGACUUCCCUCCGAAUCUCCGAUUCCCUCCUCUUUUCCGGUUUUGCUGGGGGCAUUCCCAUAAUAGCACCCUGGCGUUAUGAUGAUCCCUGUGUAUAGGACACUAACGGCAGAUGAAAUGCGUGUCGCACCCUGAAGGUAUGGCGAAUUUCAGGACGCCACCCUUGUCCCCCCAGGAAGUGCACUUACAGACCUUUUAAUGUUUCGGGGGGUUUGGGUUUGAGGGUGCCCUCCAGGGCACACUGAGGUUACAAGCCAUAAUCCUCGUCGGUUUGGACGACCUCAGUCGACUUCGGUGAGGCUCGGACAUACUAUCAUCCCAAAG